UGGACUGGUGUGGCAGGAGGAGGAAGAAGAAAAAAGAUGUAUCCCAAGGAUACGAAGACCACACUGGAAAGUGGAUUGAUCUGCCUCAUGGUGAAAACGGAAAUAAGUCAUCAAAAGAGGAGUAUGCAAUGACCAAUUCUGUGGCUUACAUGGAGGGUGGACCUUACCAGGAACGCGCUGUUGAAGAGAAAGAACCCGAGAGCAAUGGCAACAACACCCAUAUGUAGCGUGGGAUUCAGGAAAGGAAGGAACGACAAGGACAGGAAACCAAGAACAAGAACAAGAACAAGAAACAUUUAAAGCACAAGCUAACUUUUUAAUGAAAUUUACGCUGACGUGAUGUUUGAUAUAUACUUUGACAGGGAAAUUGAAAGUGGUUUCUUGAGGAGAUAUGUCUUGUCUUAUUAUCGUCUUGUUUUGGAUUUCAAAAGGACAGCUUCCUGUUUUUAUAAGCUUGCCAACCGGGUGUUCAAAAUCUCCCAUCAUUUUUAUACUCGUGCGACUCAAACUACUUUUAAGUCGAGUUCGUUGCAUUUAUUCCCAUAAUGAAUCUUGGGUUAUAAAAUUGUUCAUGCAAUUUAAUUUUGUCUUAUUAUCGUCUUGUUUUGGAUUUCAAAAGGACAGCUUCCUGUUUUUAUAAGCUUGCCAAACGGGUGUUCAAAAUCUCCCAUCAUUUUUAUACUUUAUACUUUUAUACUUUUAAGUCGAGUUCGUUGCAUUUAUUCCCAUAAUGAAUCUUGGGUUAUAA
Pocillopora verrucosa is the source of this 748-nucleotide non-coding RNA. The record is from RefSeq and is a predicted model, not a curated record. NCBI's taxonomy places the organism in Eukaryota, Metazoa, Cnidaria, Anthozoa, Scleractinia, Pocilloporidae.